GGGAUUGCCCUAGUAACGGCGAGUGAAGCGGCAACAGCUCAAAUUUGAAAUCUGGCCCUCGGGUCCGAGUUGUAAUUUGUAGAGGAUGCUUUGGGUGCGGUGCCUUCCGAGUUCCCUGGAACGGGACGCCAGAGAGGGUGAGAGCCCCGUACGGUUGGACACCUACCCUGUAGAUAGCUCCUUCGACGAGUCGAGUAGUUUGGGAAUGCUGCUCUAAAUGGGAGGUAAAUUUCUUCUAAAGCUAAAUACCGGCCAGAGACCGAUAGCGCACAAGUAGAGUGAUCGAAAGAUGAAAAGCACUUUGAAAAGAGGGUUAAAUAGCACGUGAAAUUGUUGAAAGGGAAGCGUUUGCGACCAGACCUUCUCCAGACGGAUCAUCUGGUGUUCUCACCGGUGCACUUCGUCUGGUCUAGGCCAGCAUCGGUUUCUUUAGGGGGAUAAAGGCGUAGGGAACGUAGCUCUUUCGGGAGUGUUAUAGCCCUUCGCGUAAUACCCUUCGAGGGACCGAGGACCGCGCUCUGCAAGGAUGCUGGCGUAAUGGUCGUCAACGACCCGUCUUGAAACACGGACCAAGGAGUCGAACAUUUGUGCGAGUGUUUGGGUGUUAAACCCUCACGCGUAAUGAAAGUGAACGGAGGUGAGAGCCCUUACGGGUGCAUCAUCGACCGAUCCUGAUGUCUUCGGAUGGAUUUGAGUAAGAGCAUAACUGUUCGGACCCGAAAGAUGGUGAACUAUGCGUGGAUAGGGUGAAGCCAGAGGAAACUCUGGUGGAGGCUCGCAGCGGUUCUGACGUGCAAAUCGAUCGUCAAAUCUGCGCAUGGGGGGCGAAAAGUACGUAUUAUUCUAUACCUAUGAACUUCUACAACGACA
This 870-nucleotide ribosomal RNA is filed under the name Hypoxylon sp. RNAcentral's name for it is "partial large subunit ribosomal RNA". It matches the Rfam family "Eukaryotic large subunit ribosomal RNA", at positions 71 to 930 of the family's 3401-position model. Lineage: Eukaryota; Fungi; Ascomycota; Sordariomycetes; Xylariales; Hypoxylaceae. The record is from RNAcentral.